This 2571-nucleotide long non-coding RNA is filed under the name Oreochromis niloticus (Nile tilapia). RNAcentral's name for it is "lncRNA (ENSONIG00000041161.1)". The record is from RNAcentral. Lineage: Eukaryota; Metazoa; Chordata; Actinopteri; Cichliformes; Cichlidae.
AUGGAGACACACCAAUUAAUACCAUGUGUUGAUGAAGAUGGAAAGAAAAGACAGCCGAAACCGACUGCUAAGGCUUUGGAGAAUCAGAUUGAAAGGCUUCAAACUGAACGUCACACUAAGAUUAAUAAAAUUAAAAGGGUCAUAAAGGUGAUUAAGGAAUUAAAGCAAUCUGAGGAUAAUGUUUCUACUGUUCAGGCUCAGUUAGAGAAUUUGUCUGUGUUGCUUAGUGAGGCAACUUGUCUGCAUGAAACCUUGCUUCCUUUGCUUCCUCAAGAAGAGCAAGAAAAACAAACUGCUUGGUUUAUAAGUGUGCGAGCGCAUAAUACUGAGUUUAUGGAAGAGAUAAAGAAAUGGCUUCAUGAUGCAAAGGGAAACCCUCAGAGUAAAAAUCAGGUGUCUGAGCUUGAUUUGCCUCAGUUAAAUCCACCUGGUGUUGAUUCCUCUGAUGUAUUACCUGCUGGAAAUGGUUCUGGUGCUUCUAGGCACGCCGGGAAUGUUGGUAAAGGUGCUGCGAUAGAUGAUGUUAAUCCAAGUGAUAGCAUCUCUAAUGUUGGAAACAAAAGUUGUAGGAAAAGUAAAUCAUCACUCAGUGGCUCAAUGGUUUCAUCUGCCUUGUCAGCACGCAUAACGGCAGAGGCUGACAUGGCUGCCCUUCUUGUUCGACAGAGGUUGUUGAAAGAAAAGCAUGCUUUGGAGGAACAAGAAAUACAGCUUAAGAAAAGAAAGGAGCUGCUUGACUUAGAAACUGAAAUAGCAGCCUCAGCAGCAAAGGUGAAUGUUUUGAAAGCUUCUGAAAUGUCCCGAGUCUCAAGUGCUGUUAAUGGUAAAUCUGAUGGAAUGAAUUCGUACUUAGAACGAGAGCAGGGGCGUUUAGGUGUUUUAAAUCCUAAUGCUCCGAUGUUCAAACCUGUGUUACCAGAGCGACCAUAUCAGGGUGUUGAUGCAAGUGAUCAUCAAGCGCAGGUAUUGGAUGUAAGGCCUAAGGUUAAAAAUAUUUCUCAGCCCAAGGUCGUUUCAUUGGAACAGUCGGAGACGAAGCCACAAGUAUUUCCAGGUGCAGUUUCGACUACUCAGGUGAUGUCGCAGUCUCACACACAACCAAAACAUCUUACACAUACAGUGCAAGGAAGUGAGGGUCAUGAUCAUCUAGUCACCGUCUUGAAGAAACAAAAUGAAAUUACAACUUUAUUGGCUGAGCAGCAGUCUCUGUUUUUGCUGCCAAGGCGUGACAUUCAGUUCUUUGAUGGUGAUCCUUUGCAAUAUCAAACAUUUAUGAGAGCUUUUGAGCACAUGGUGGAGAGACAAGCUCACAGUGCUAAGGAUUGUUUAUAUUUUCUCGAGCAAUACACUAGAGGCCAUCCAAGAGAAAUGGUCAGAAGCUGUCAGUAUAUGCCUGCCGAGUAUGGAUAUGCUAAAGCUAAAUCUUUGCUCCAGGAGAACUUUGGCAAUUCGUUGAAAAUUGCUGCUGCCUACAUUGAAAGGGUCAGUAAAUGGCCACUUAUAAAAUCUGAUGAUGUGAAGGCUUUGCAGGAAUAUGGGUUUUUAUUAAGGCAAUGUUGCAAUGCAAUGGGAGACGUUGAGUCCUUGCAUGAGUUGGAUGUCUCUGCUAAUAUGCAAGCAGUUAUAAAGAAGUUGCCUUAUAAGCUUAGGGAUAAAUGGAGCAAUGUUGCCUGCGAUCUGCAGGAGAGGUUUCAACGUAAAGUGGGUUUUAGCGAUGUUGUUGAGUUUGUUGAAAAGCAAGUUAAGAUCGCAAGUGACCCAUUGUUUGGAGACAUAAAGGAUCCUCCAACAGCCAUCAGACAGGAGGCGAGGAAUGUUAAGUCUCAGUUUUACCCUAAGGCUAAGAAGAGUAGUUUUGCUACUACAGUGGCCAAGGUGGAAGGGAAGAUUGAGCCAGCGUUGAGGCGAGAGAGUGGUUCAGUUGUGACCAAGGUUUGCUUGUUUUGUGGAGCAGGACAUAUGUUGGAGUUGUGUCCUUCAUUUGAAAGAAAGUUGCACUGUGAAAGAUUAUCUUUUUUGAAAGAGAAUGGUGUGUGUUUUGGUUGUCUGCGCAUUGGGCACAGAAGCAAGGACUGCAGGAAACGUCUCUUGUGUAAAGUCUGUAAUCAGAAACACCCCACACUCUUACAUAUCCACUCCAAGCAGAGGGAAAGUGUUUCAGUGCAAACUAUAGGAGGGGGAGAACCACCAGAUGAAGGUCCUUCAUGUGCUGUGCAAAGCAGUGGUGUUACUGGGGCCGGUGAGCAAAAUAGUGCUCUAGCCAUAAUACCAGUUAGAGUGAAGUCCAAGAAAGGUAAUCAGUCACUGAUAACUUAUGCUUUCCUAGAUCCUGGGAGCUCAGCUUCAUUUUGUACUGAAGGGCUCAUGAACAGGCUGAAUCUUUCAGGAAGGAAAACUGGCAUUCUGUUGCGGACAAUGGGUCAGGAGAAAAUGGUCAGUAGCUAUGUGGUCUCAGAUUUGGAAGUAGCUGGUUUGGAUUUAGAUCACUACUGUGACUUGCCUGACUUAUUUACUCAGAAAAGCAUGCCUGUUCAACAAUGCAAUAAUUCCCCGACAGGAAGAUCUGGAUAG